UGUUUCGGCUAGGGGGCCAUCCCGGCUUACCAACCCGAUGCAAACUGCGAAUACCGGAGAAUGUUAUCACGGGAGACACACGGCGGGUGCUAACGUCCGUCGUGAAGAGGGAAACAACCCAGACCGCCAGCUAAGGUCCCAAAGUCAUGGUUAAGUGGGAAACGAUGUGGGAAGGCCCAGACAGCCAGGAUGUUGGCUUAGAAGCAGCCAUCAUUUAAAGAAAGCGUAAUAGCUCACUGGUCGAGUCGGCCUGCGCGGAAGAUGUAACGGGGCUAAACCAUGCACCGAAGCUGCGGCAGCGACACUGUGUGUUGUUGGGUAGGGGAGCGUUCUGUAAGCCUGUGAAGGUGGCCUGUGAGGGUUGCUGGAGGUAUCAGAAGUGCGAAUGCUGACAUAAGUAACGAUAAAGCGGGUGAAAAGCCCGCUCGCCGGAAGACCAAGGGUUCCUGUCCAACGUUAAUCGGGGCAGGGUGAGUCGACCCCUAAGGCGAGGCCGAAAGGCGUAGUCGAUGGGAAACAGGUUAAUAUUCCUGUACUUGGUGUUACUGCGAAGGGGGGACGGAGAAGGCUAUGUUGGCCGGGCGACGGUUGUCCCGGUUUAAGCGUGUAGGCUGGUUUUCCAGGCAAAUCCGGAAAAUCAAGGCUGAGGCGUGACGACGAGGCACUACGGUGCUGAAGCAACAAAUGCCCUGCUUCCAGGAAAAGCCUCUAAGCAUCAGGUAACAUCAAAUCGUACCCCAAACCGACACAGGUGGUCAGGUAGAGAAUACCAAGGCGCUUGAGAGAACUCGGGUGAAGGAACUAGGCAAAAUGGUGCCGUAACUUCGGGAGAAGGCACGCUGACACGUAGGUGAAGUGAUUUACUCAUGGAGCUGAAGUCAGUCGAAGAUACCAGCUGGCUGCAACUGUUUAUUAAAAACACAGCACUGUGCAAACACGAAAGUGGACGUAUACGGUGUGACGCCUGCCCGGUGCCGGAAGGUUAAUUGAUGGGGUCAGCGCAAGCGAAGCUCCUGAUCGAAGCCCCGGUAAACGGCGGCCGUAACUAUAACGGUCCUAAGGUAGCGAAAUUCCUUGUCGGGUAAGUUCCGACCUGCACGAAUGGCGUAAUGAUGGCCAGGCUGUCUCCACCCGAGACUCAGUGAAAUUGAACUCGCUGUGAAGAUGCAGUGUACCCGCGGCAAGACGGAAAGACCCCGUGAACCUUUACUAUAGCUUGACACUGAACAUUGAGCCUUGAUGUGUAGGAUAGGUGGGAGGCUUUGAAGCGUGGACGCCAGUCUGCGUGGAGCCGACCUUGAAAUACCACCCUUUAAUGUUUGAUGUUCUAACGUGGACCCGUUA
Molecule: ribosomal RNA, 1344 nt
Filed under: Salmonella enterica subsp. enterica serovar Newport
Lineage: Bacteria; Pseudomonadati; Pseudomonadota; Gammaproteobacteria; Enterobacterales; Enterobacteriaceae
Description: partial 23S ribosomal RNA
Rfam family: Bacterial large subunit ribosomal RNA
Source: RNAcentral